AGUCUGGUGCCAGCAGCCGCGGUAAUUCCAGCUCCAAUAGCGUAUAUUAAAGUUGCUGCGGUUAAAAAGCUCGUAGUUGGAUUUUGGAACCUGAAUGGUUGGUCGGGCACUCCCUGUACUGACCAUUCGGUUCUUCUGUCUGGAGACUCCUCGUUCCUUCUUAACUGAAGGGCUUGGGGGAUCUAGGACUUUUACUUUGAACAAAUUAGAGUGCCCAACGCAGGCCUAUGCCUUGAAUACAUUAGCAUGGAAUAACGUAUAGGACUUUGGUUCUAUUUUGUUGGUUUUAAGGACCGAAGUAAUGAUUAAUAGGGAUAGUUGGGGGCAUUAAUAUUUAAUUGUCAGAGGUGAAAUUCUUAGAUUUAUGAAAGAUUAACUUCUGCGAAAGCAUUUGCCAAGGAUGUUUUCAUUAAUCAAGAACGAAAGUUAGGGGAUCGAAGACGAUCAGAUACCGUCGUAGUCUUAACCAUAAACUAUGCCGACUAGGGAUUGGAAGAAGUUAUUUUCACGACUCCUUCAGCACCUUAUGAGAAAUCAAAGUCUUUGGGUUCCGGGGGGAGUAUGGUCGCAAGGCUGAAACUUAAAGGAAUUGACGGAAGGGCACCACCAGGAGUGGAGCCUGCGGCUUAAUUUGACCCAACACGGGAAAACUUACCAGGUCCAGACAUAGUAAGGAUUGACAGAUUGAGAGCUCUUUCUUGAUUCUAUGGGUGGUGGUGCAUGGCCGUUCUUAGUUGGUGGAGUGAUUUGUCUGCUUAAUUGCGAUAACGAACGAGACCUUAACCUACUAAAUAGUUACGCGAACCUUUGUGUUCGCGGCCAACUUCUUAGAGGGACUUUUGCGUGCUUUAACCAAAGGAAGUUUGAGGCAAUAACAGGUCUGUGAUGCCCUUAGAUGUUCUGGGCCGCACGCGCGCUACACUGAUACGUUCAGCGAGUUUACAACCUUGACCGGUAGGUCUGGGUAAUCUUAAAAAGCGUAUCGUGAUGGGGAUAGAUCUUUGUAAUUAUGGAUCUUCAACGAGGAAUUCCUAGUAAACGCGAGUCAUCAGCUCGCAUUGAUUACGUCCCUGCCCUUUGUACACACCGCCCGUCGCUCCUACCGAUUGAAUGGUCCGGUGAGCUCUUCGGACUGACUGGGUCCCUCGGGAAACUGAGGCCUGCGUCGGGAAGUUGCGCUAACCUUAUCAUUUAGAGGAAGGAGAAGUCGUAACAAGGUUUCCGUAGGUACCUGCGGAAG
This 1240-nucleotide ribosomal RNA is filed under the name metagenome. RNAcentral's name for it is "SSU rRNA". It matches the Rfam family "Eukaryotic small subunit ribosomal RNA", at positions 558 to 1823 of the family's 1831-position model. The record is from RNAcentral.